UACGUAGGGUGCGAGCGUUAAUCGGAAUUACUGGGCGUAAAGCGUGCGCAGGCGGUCUGUUAAGACCGAUGUGAAAUCCCCCGGGCUUAACCUGGGAACUGCAUUGGUGACUGGCAGGCUUUUGAGUGUGGCAGAGGGAGGUAGAAUUCCACGUGUAGCAGUGAAAUGCGUAGAGAUGUGGAGGAAUACCGAUGGCGAAGGCAGCCUCCUGGGCCAACACUGACGCUCAUGCACGAAAGCGUGGGGAGCAAACAGG
RNAcentral lists this ribosomal RNA (256 nucleotides) under uncultured bacterium. RNAcentral describes it as "partial 16S ribosomal RNA". It matches the Rfam family "Bacterial small subunit ribosomal RNA", at positions 524 to 776 of the family's 1533-position model. The record is from RNAcentral.